AUNACUUAUNCNGNGUCUCUNUAUCNCUUAUUGUUUAUUUGAUAUCGCCUUACNACUUGGAUAACCCGUNAAUUCUCUAGCUAAUACAUGCGCAANGCCCCCGACNGGGGUGCAUUUAUUAUUCAAACCAUCGGCGUCCCGNGAACGGAUGCCUUUGAUGGUGAAUCAUAAUAACUUAAAUCGAAUGGCUUUUAUGCUGCCGAUGCUAUUUCAAAUUUCUGCCCUAUCAGCUUUCGAUGGGAGGAUCUUGGCCAACCAUGGGUACAACGGGAAANGGGGAAAAUAUAUUUGUUAUUAUAAUCUNGGNAUAAAAAUAGCAAAUAUAAGUCGGCGACGAUUCAUUCGAAUUUCUGCCCCAUCAACUCUCGAUGGUAGGAUAGAGGCCUACCAUGGUCGCAACGGGUAACGGGGAAUA
This 415-nucleotide ribosomal RNA is filed under the name uncultured fungus. RNAcentral's name for it is "partial 18S ribosomal RNA". It matches the Rfam family "Eukaryotic small subunit ribosomal RNA", at positions 98 to 371 of the family's 1831-position model. Lineage: Eukaryota; Fungi. The record is from RNAcentral.